CCUUUUUUUAGCACCGCCACCGUUUAUUCCACCACCGCCUUUGUAUAUACACAAUACUUCUUCCUUUUUAUCUCAAACAUCAGUCUCCUUCUAAUCUCUCCCCCUCUCGAAAUCUUCUCUGUGUCGACAGCCUCUCACUCGAACUGUCCCUUCUCCUAUUCUGUUAAACCUCCCCGCUGCCGAUAUGCUCCACACAAGUCGUCGCCGCUGGUUCCGAUUCCGGCCAAACCUGUUGUGGUCACCCCGCGAAUUUCUUCUUGUCCAUGCCUACUGCUUCUUCCCGGUCGGAAGUUAUCGAUUCUUUUCUCUCCGGGUUUCUCUAUCAUUGAGUCUCCAAAACCUGCAUCAGCUGUGGCAUAUUUGUCCAACGACACAAGCUUUAUUCCACCCCUCGAGUUCAACACAGUUCGAAUUGAAGACAUUGACCGAGGCAUUAAUAGAGAAGUGAUUGAAAGGGGUAUUCAGAAAUAACCAAGUAGUGUUACAAGUUGAAGUAGGGCGGAGAUUUGUUAUAGAUAAAAGCUUGUCAGAAGCUGGCAGAAAGGAAUGAUUAUGCGGUAUAUAGUGUUACUAGGAAUCUGAGCUAAACGUUGGAGUUAAGGCAAGUAUUUCUAUACUUCUCUUGUGGUUAAGACUAGAGAUAAAGAUGAUUCACUUAAGACUAGGCAAGGAUUGCAAGUGGUUGAGUUUCAGGCAGAUGGUCAGGUAGGGUAUCCAGGACGAUAUCAUUACGACUAGAUGCAGUUGGAGUUCUGCAAUUCAAUUCAGUUGGAAAUUAGAUUUGUUUAUUUGGUUAUCAGCUACUCUUCUUAUCGAGGGUUAGCUGAUAAUGUAGUUUAAUUUGUAAUUAAGAUUUUAUAGUUUUAGUUUCUGAUUUCAAUGCAGUAACCUGUA
Long non-coding RNA from Daucus carota subsp. sativus, 894 nucleotides. RefSeq lists it as uncharacterized. The record is from RefSeq and is a predicted model, not a curated record. The transcript is spliced from 3 exons. NCBI's taxonomy places the organism in Eukaryota, Viridiplantae, Streptophyta, Magnoliopsida, Apiales, Apiaceae.